GGAUGAACGCUGGCGGCGUGCCUAAUCCAUGCAAGUCGAGCGAACAGACGAGGAGCUUGCUCCUCUGAUGUUAGCGGCGGACGGGUGAGUAACACGUGGAUAACCUACCUAUAAGACUGGGAUAACUUCGGGAAACCGGAGCUAAUACCGGAUAACAUGUUGAACCGCAUGGUUCAACAGUGAAAGACGGUCUUGCUGUCACUUAUAGAUGGAUCCGCGCCGCAUUAGCUAGUUGGUAAGGUAACGGCUUACCAAGGCAACGAUGCGUAGCCGACCUGAGAGGGUGAUCGGCCACACUGGAACUGAGACACGGUCCAGACUCCUACGGGAGGCAGCAGUAGGGAAUCUUCCGCAAUGGGCGAAAGCCUGACGGAGCAACGCCGCGUGAGUGAAGAAGGUCUUCGGAUCGUAAAACUCUGUUAUUAGGGAAGAACAAAUGUGUAAGUAACUAUGCACGUCUUGACGGUACCUAAUCAGAAAGCCACGGCUAACUACGUG
Molecule: ribosomal RNA, 498 nt
Filed under: uncultured bacterium
Lineage: Bacteria
Description: partial 16S ribosomal RNA
Rfam family: Bacterial small subunit ribosomal RNA
Source: RNAcentral